Molecule: ribosomal RNA, 506 nt
Filed under: uncultured bacterium
Lineage: Bacteria
Description: partial 16S ribosomal RNA
Rfam family: Bacterial small subunit ribosomal RNA
Source: RNAcentral
GAUGAACGCUAGCUACAGGCUCAACACAUGCAAGUCGAGGGGUAACGAGAGGAAAGCUUGCUUUCCUUGUCGACGACCGGCGCACGGGUGAGUAACGCGUAUCCAACCUGCCCCCAACUAGGGAAUAACCUUGCGAAAGUAAGACUAAUACCCUAUAAUUUCCUCAGAUGUCAUCUGACGAGGAAUAAAGAUUUAUCGGUUGUGGAUGGGGAUGCGUCUGAUUAGCUUGUUGGCGGGGUAACGGCCCACCAAGGCAACGAUCAGUAGGGGUUCUGAGAGGAAGGUCCCCCACAUUGGAACUGAGACACGGUCCAAACUCCUACGGGAGGCAGCAGUGAGGAAUAUUGGUCAAUGGGCGGAAGCCUGAACCAGCCAAGUAGCGUGCAGGAUGACGGCCCUAUGGGUUGUAAACUGCUUUUAUACAGGAAUAAAGUUAGCCACGUGUGGUUAUUUGUAGGUACUGUAUGAAUAAGGACCGGCUAAUUCCGUGCCAGCAGCCGCGGUAA